GGCGAGUCGCGCUGUGCGGGUGUCGGAGAUGGCGGGGCUUCAGCACCUCAGAUCCCGAAGAAAAGAUUGAUAUUGGGCUGCCUCCACCCAAAGUCUCCCGGACCCAACAGCUACUGGAACGGAAACAGGCCAUCCGGGAGCUUCGGGCCAAUGUGGAAGAGGAGCGGGCUGCCCGCCUCCGCACAGCCAGUGUCCCGCUGGAUGCUGUGCGGGCCGAGUGGGAGAGGACCUGUGGCCCCUACCACAAGCAGCGUCUGGCUGAGUAUUACGGCCUCUACCGAGACCUGUUCCACGGUGCUACCUUUGUGCCCCGAGUCCCUCUGCACGUGGCCUACGCUGUGGGUGAGGACGACCUGAUGCCCGUGUACUGUGGCAAUGAGGUGACUCCAACCGAGGUAACCGCUCACUUGUGCCCCUCCUCCCUGCAAGCACAGACACAUCCCAUCUCAGUGUCACAGACACUCCUGGGUUUGGAAUUUUGUUGUUCUCUGUCUCUUUGAUUUCCUGGAAGACAACACCAUGACAAUUUCAAAGAAAAUAGAACAAAAUGAAGGAAAAAAAGGCUCUGUCUUAGCACAUUCCUGUGACCGGCCUGCUGUCUGUGGUAUGCCCUCCUGCCCAGGCCUUGGCACAUGUUCGUUUUUGUGGUUGUUGCCUGGACAGGCAACUCUGCAGGGCUCCUUCUCUACACAUCCCUUUGCCUGCCUGCCUGUGCCAGGGGCUGUCAAGGGCUUUUGGGUCAGAGUGGGCACCCCUUUCUCCAAGGCUCCCUGCAACAGCUGGCCUGUCCCUGGUGGGGCUUACAGCUUCCUUCUCUCCCUGCCAGGCUGCCCAAGUGCCAGAGGUGACCUAUGAGGCAGAAG
Molecule: small RNA, 863 nt
Filed under: Pongo abelii (Sumatran orangutan)
Lineage: Eukaryota; Metazoa; Chordata; Mammalia; Primates; Hominidae
Description: retained intron
Source: RNAcentral